This 640-nucleotide ribosomal RNA is filed under the name uncultured bacterium. RNAcentral's name for it is "bacterial SSU rRNA". The stretch from base 1 to 546 matches the Rfam family "Bacterial small subunit ribosomal RNA", at positions 338 to 873 of the family's 1533-position model. The record is from RNAcentral.
CCUACGGGAGGCAGCAGUGGGGAAUAUUGGACAAUGGGCGCAAGCCUGAUCCAGCCAUGCCGCGUGUGUGAAGAAGGCCUUCGGGUUGUAAAGCACUUUCAGCGAGGAGGAAGGGAUGUAUGUUAAUAGCAUGCAUUUUUGACGUUACUCGCAGAAGAAGCACCGGCUAACUCUGUGCCAGCAGCCGCGGUAAUACAGAGGGUGCAAGCGUUAAUCGGAAUUACUGGGCGUAAAGCGCACGUAGGCGGUUUUUUAAGUCAGAUGUGAAAGCCCCGGGCUCAACCUGGGAAUUGCAUUUGAAACUGGGGAACUAGAGUGUGUGAGAGGGGGGUAGAAUUCCAAGUGUAGCGGUGAAAUGCGUAGAGAUUUGGAGGAAUACCAGUGGCGAAGGCGGCCCCCUGGCACAGCACUGACGCUCAGGUGCGAAAGCGUGGGGAGCAAACAGGAUUAGAUACCCUGGUAGUCCACGCCGUAAACGAUGUCUACUAGCUGUUCGUGUCCUUGUGAUGUGAGUAGCGCGAGCGACGACGACGUAAGUAGACCGCCGUUGGGUAGGUUACGGUUCGCGAGAGUUAACGUUACAAGAGAGUUAGACGGCGUUGAGACGUUGGCCGACGGACGACGACGAGGGGAGGUUAGG